UCAGACUCAGACUGGAAUCUACACCAUUGGCUCUCUGGCCCUCAGGCCUUUCUAGGUCUCCAGCUUUUGAGAGCAGAUUGUGGGACUUCUCAGCCCCUAUAAGCAUCUUGAGGUUGCUGCCUUUCUGAUAUAGUGAUGUGAAGAACAGUUUAAAGGGUAUCGCUAGGAUGAAGAAGAGAUGACAAAGAAAGAAAGAACAAAAGGAAGAAAGGAAGGAAGAAAGGGCAUGCUCUUUGAGCGUGUUUUAGGAGAAUGGAUUUCUUCAUGGGCUCUUAGAUACUGCAUUGCACAGGUUACCUGGGACAUCUGAUGGGGAGUCCAAGAGACCUGUACCAGUUAUCUCCAGAUGGGGUCUUGCUACGUUGCCAAGGCUGGUCUCAAAC
This is a non-coding RNA of Microcebus murinus (gray mouse lemur), 383 nucleotides long. Lineage: Eukaryota; Metazoa; Chordata; Mammalia; Primates; Cheirogaleidae. The record is from RefSeq and is a predicted model, not a curated record.